RNAcentral lists this non-coding RNA (140 nucleotides) under Spirochaeta africana. RNAcentral describes it as "FMN sequence". It matches the Rfam family "FMN riboswitch aptamer (RFN element)". Rfam says of the family: The RFN element is a highly conserved domain that is found frequently in the 5'-untranslated regions of prokaryotic mRNAs that encode for flavin mononucleotide (FMN) biosynthesis and transport proteins. This element is a metabolite-dependent riboswitch that directly binds FMN in the absence of proteins. Lineage: Bacteria; Pseudomonadati; Spirochaetota; Spirochaetia; Spirochaetales; Spirochaetaceae. The record is from RNAcentral. RNAcentral also lists the same sequence under 1 other name.
GAUGAUUUUCAGGGCAUGGUGAGUCUUGUGUUGCAAGACAAUUCCAGACCGGCGGUUACAGCCCGCGACUCCCUACUCCAGGGGACUGAACUGGUGAAACUCCAGUGCCGACGGUACAGUCCGGACGGAAGAAAAUCGCA